This 494-nucleotide ribosomal RNA is filed under the name uncultured bacterium. RNAcentral describes it as "partial 16S ribosomal RNA". It matches the Rfam family "Bacterial small subunit ribosomal RNA", at positions 28 to 507 of the family's 1533-position model. The record is from RNAcentral.
GAUGAACGCUGGCGGCGUGCCUAACACAUGCAAGUCGAGCGAACGGACGAGAAGCUUGCCUUCCUGACGUUAGCGGCGGACGGGGGAGUAACACGUGGAUAACCUACUCAAAAAACGGGGGAAACUCCGGCAAACGGUUGCCAAAUCCGGCAAAAAUUUUGAACAGGAAGGUUGAAAAGCUAAGAAUAGGCUUAGCGCUAUUUGAGCGGCCCACGCUGGAUUAGCUAGUUGGUGAGGUAAAGGCGCACCAAGGCGAAGAUGUGUAGCCGACCUGAGAGGAUGAUCGGCCACACUGGAACUGAGACACGGUCCAGACUCCUACGGGAGGCAGCAGUAGGGAAUCUUGCGCAAUGGGCGAAAGCCUGACGGAGCAACGCCGCGUGAAUGAUGAAGGUCUUAGGAUCGUAAAACUCUGUUAUUAGGGAAGAACAGUUAUGUAAGUAACAGGGCACAUAUUGACGGUACCUAAUGAAAAAGCAACGGCUAACUACGUG